GUCUCCGUUGGUGAACCAGCGGAGGGAUCAUUACCGAGUUUACAACUCCCAAACCCUUAUGUGAACCGUACCUAUCGUUGCUUCGGCGGGAACGCCCCGGCGCCCUGCGCCCGGAUCCAGGCGCCCGCCGGAGACCCCAAACUCUUGUGUUUUUUUCAGUAUUCUCUGAGUGGCAAACGCAAAAAUAAAUCAAAACUUUUAACAACGGAUCUCUUGGCUCUGGCAUCGAUGAAGAACGCAGCGAAAUGCGAUAAGUAAUGUGAAUUGCAGAAUUCAGUGAAUCAUCGAAUCUUUGAACGCACAUUGCGCCCGUUAGCAUUCUAGCGGGCAUGCCUGUCCGAGCGUCAUUUCAACCCUCAGGGUCCCCGUUCCGGCGGGGAACCUGGUGUUGGGGAUCGGCCCGCCCCGCGCGGCGCCGUCCCCCAAAUUCAGUGGCGGUCUCGCUGCAGCCUCCCCUGCGUAGUAGUUACAACCUCGCAUCGGAGCUCAGCGCGGCCACGCCGUAAAACCCCCGACUUUCUGAACGUUGACCUCGGAUCAGGUAGGAAUACCCGCUGAACUUAA
RNAcentral lists this ribosomal RNA (564 nucleotides) under Stachybotrys chartarum. Its description in RNAcentral is "eukaryotic LSU rRNA". The stretch from base 194 to 347 matches the Rfam family "5.8S ribosomal RNA". The record is from RNAcentral. Lineage: Eukaryota; Fungi; Ascomycota; Sordariomycetes; Hypocreales; Stachybotryaceae.